GCCUUCGUGGUGUAAUGGUCAGUACACUGGGUGCAUAUUCGAGAGGUCUGAGGUUCGAGUCCCGGCAAGGGCA
Molecule: transfer RNA, 73 nt
Filed under: Stegodyphus mimosarum
Lineage: Eukaryota; Metazoa; Arthropoda; Arachnida; Araneae; Eresidae
Rfam family: tRNA
About the family: Transfer RNA (tRNA) molecules are approximately 80 nucleotides in length. Their secondary structure includes four short double-helical elements and three loops (D, anti-codon, and T loops).
Source: Rfam by way of RNAcentral